Molecule: ribosomal RNA, 109 nt
Filed under: Candidatus Eubacterium faecipullorum
Lineage: Bacteria; Bacillati; Bacillota; Clostridia; Eubacteriales; Eubacteriaceae
Source: RNAcentral
GUGUCUAUGACGAAGAGGGUCCACCCGUUCCCAUCCCGAACACGGUAGUUAAGCUCUUCGGUGCCGAAAAUACUUGGCGGGCUGCCGCCCGGGAAAAUAGGUCGAUGCU